AUUAAAGUGGCAGAGUAUGGUAAUUGCAAAAGACCUAAAAUCUUUAUAUCGAGAGUUCAAAUCUCUCCUUUAACU
RNAcentral lists this transfer RNA (75 nucleotides) under Hydromantes brunus (limestone salamander). Its description in RNAcentral is "tRNA-Leu". It matches the Rfam family "tRNA". Rfam says of the family: Transfer RNA (tRNA) molecules are approximately 80 nucleotides in length. Their secondary structure includes four short double-helical elements and three loops (D, anti-codon, and T loops). Lineage: Eukaryota; Metazoa; Chordata; Amphibia; Caudata; Plethodontidae. The record is from RNAcentral.